AUGAACGCUGGCGGCGUGCCUAAUACAUGCCAGUCGAGCGAACAGACGAGGAGCUUGCUCCUCUGACGUUAGCGGCGGACGGGUGAGUAACACGUGGAUAACCUACCUAUAAGACUGGGAUAACUUCGGGAAACCGGAGCUAAUACCGGAUAAUAUAUUGAACCGCAUGGUUCAAUAGUGAAAGACGGUUUUGCUGUCACUUAUAGAUGGAUCCGCGCCGCAUUAGCUAGUUGGUAAGGUAACGGCUUACCAAGGCAACGAUGCGUAGCCGACCUGAGAGGGUGAUCGGCCACACUGGAACUGAGACACGGUCCAGACUCCUACGGGAGGCAGCAGUAGGGAAUCUUCCGCAAAGGGCGAAAGCCUGACGGAGCAACGCCGCGUGAGUGAUGAAGGUCUUCGGAUCGUAAAACUCUGUUAUUAGGGAAGAACAAAUGUGUAAGUAACUAUGCACGUCUUGACGGUACCUAAUCAGAAAGCCACGGCUAACUACGUG
RNAcentral lists this ribosomal RNA (496 nucleotides) under uncultured bacterium. RNAcentral describes it as "partial 16S ribosomal RNA". It matches the Rfam family "Bacterial small subunit ribosomal RNA", at positions 29 to 507 of the family's 1533-position model. The record is from RNAcentral.